CCGUUAAUUUUCAAUGGGGUCGGAAUGUGCUGUCUGGAUCCGCACUUCCGUUCCACAAAAAUAUAGAACAUGUCCUGUUCUUGUCCGCAAUUGCGGACAAGAAAAUACAUUUUUUAUGAGAGUGCCGGCAAUGUGGGGUCUGUAAAAUGCAAAACGCAUU
Molecule: long non-coding RNA, 160 nt
Organism: Bufo bufo (common toad)
Lineage: Eukaryota; Metazoa; Chordata; Amphibia; Anura; Bufonidae
Exons: 3
Source: RefSeq, a predicted model, not a curated record